This 568-nucleotide ribosomal RNA is filed under the name Lodderomyces parapsilosis. Its description in RNAcentral is "Candida parapsilosis partial large subunit ribosomal RNA". It matches the Rfam family "Eukaryotic large subunit ribosomal RNA", at positions 62 to 646 of the family's 3401-position model. Lineage: Eukaryota; Fungi; Ascomycota; Pichiomycetes; Serinales; Debaryomycetaceae. The record is from RNAcentral.
AAACCAACAGGGAUUGCCUUAGUAGCGGCGAGUGAAGCGGCAAAAGCUCAAAUUUGAAAUCUGGCACUUUCAGUGUCCGAGUUGUAAUUUGAAGAAGGUAUCUUUGGGUCUGGCUCUUGUCUAUGUUUCUUGGAACAGAACGUCACAGAGGGUGAGAAUCCCGUGCGAUGAGAUGUCCCAGACCUAUGUAAAGUUCCUUCGAAGAGUCGAGUUGUUUGGGAAUGCAGCUCUAAGUGGGUGGUAAAUUCCAUCUAAAGCUAAAUAUUGGCGAGAGACCGAUAGCGAACAAGUACAGUGAUGGAAAGAUGAAAAGAACUUUGAAAAGAGAGUGAAAAAGUACGUGAAAUUGUUGAAAGGGAAGGGCUUGAGAUCAGACUUGGUAUUUUGUAUGUUACUCUCUCGGGGGUGGCCUCUACAGUUUACCGGGCCAGCAUCAGUUUGAGCGGUAGGAUAAGUGCAAAGAAAUGUGGCACUGCUUCGGUAGUGUGUUAUAGUCUUUGUCGAUACUGCCAGCUUAGACUGAGGACUGCGGCUUCGGCCUAGGAUGUUGGCAUAAUGAUCUUAAGUC